AACGAACGCUGGCGGCAUGCCUAACACAUGCAAGUCGAACGAUACCUUCGGGUCUAGUGGCGCACGGGUGCGUAACGCGUGGGAACCUGCCCUUAGGUUCGGAAUAACUCCCCGAAAGGGGUGCUAAUACCGGAUAAUGUCUUCGGACCAAAGAUUUAUCGCCUUUGGAUGGGCCCGCGUUGGAUUAGCUAGUUGGUAGGGUAAAAGCCUACCAAGGCGACGAUCCAUAGCUGGACUGAGAGGAUGAUCAGCCACACUGGGACUGAGACACGGCCCAGACUCCUACGGGAGGCAGCAGUGGGGAAUAUUGGACAAUGGGCGAAAGCCUGAUCCAGCAAUGCCGCGUGAGUGAUGAAGGCCUUAGGGUUGUAAAGCUCUUUUACCCGGGAUGAUAAUGACAGUACCGGGAGAAUAAGCUCCGGCUAACUCCGUG
RNAcentral lists this ribosomal RNA (433 nucleotides) under uncultured bacterium. RNAcentral describes it as "partial 16S ribosomal RNA". It matches the Rfam family "Bacterial small subunit ribosomal RNA", at positions 29 to 507 of the family's 1533-position model. The record is from RNAcentral.